Molecule: long non-coding RNA, 507 nt
Filed under: Macaca mulatta (Rhesus monkey)
Lineage: Eukaryota; Metazoa; Chordata; Mammalia; Primates; Cercopithecidae
Description: lncRNA (ENSMMUG00000057744.1)
Source: RNAcentral
CAUAAAUUCUGUGGAAUAAAUAGUCUUUUAAGACAUACUUGGUUUAUUUCUAGACUAAUAAAGAUGUGACCUACUCACAGAGGCUUCACGUGUUUUGCGAAGUACAUUGGCUUUUAUUCAACAUGCAGUGGGACUCCAACUAAAGUGUCUCAGGAAGCAAUUCAUCAUAAUCCAAUCACCUCUGGAGCUUAGAAUAUCUGAAACACUUACUGAAAAUGGUUUGAAUUGUUUUGGAAAGAUGAUGUCUAUAAAUUUAAAGCUUUCAGUCUUCUGAGGAUGUGGAGCCACUUGAAUAUUUCUACUUAUUUCUGGAAAUAAGCAGGGUGCCAUCAACUUGAAUUUCCUGAUGACCUUGAUCAUAGUGGAAGUUGAGGGUUUAAGUUAUUCAGUAGAGUCCUCAUUGAUGUAGCCUUUCAUCAAAUCCUGUCAUGAAACAUGGUAAGAUUCUACCCCUUGAAAAAUAAUGUUUUCCUUUUUUUUUUCUUUCAGUUUACAGAAAUGCCUUAU